GUGGGGAAUAUUGGACAAUGGGCGAAAGCCUGAUCCAGCAAUGCCGCGUGAGUGAAGAAGGCCUUAGGGUUGUAAAGCUCUUUUGCCCGGGAAGAUAAUGACUGUAGCCGGAGAAGAAGCCCCGGCUAACUUCGUGCCAGCAGCCGCGGUAAUACGAAGGGGGCUAGCGUUGCUCGGAUUUACUGGGCGUAAAGCGCGCGUAGGCGGACCAGAAAGUUGGAGGUGAAAUCCCAGGGCUCAACCUUGGAACUGCCUUCAAAACUCCUGGUCUGGAGUUCGAGAGAGGUGAGUGGAAUUCCGAGUGUAGAGGUGAAAUUCGUAGAUAUUCGGAGGAACACCAGUGGCGAAGGCGGCUCACUGGCUCGAUACUGACGCUGAGGUGCGAAAGCGUGGGGAGCAAACAGGAUUAGAAACCCUUGUAGUCC
Molecule: ribosomal RNA, 425 nt
Filed under: uncultured bacterium
Lineage: Bacteria
Description: partial 16S ribosomal RNA
Rfam family: Bacterial small subunit ribosomal RNA
Source: RNAcentral